GGGGUCACGCCCCGGGUGCGUAAAAGCCCCGGAACCAGGCGCCCGCCGGAGGAACCAACCAAACUCUUUCUGUAGUCCCCUCGCGGACGUAUUUCUUACAGCUCUGAGCAAAAAUUCAAAAUGAAUCAAAACUUUCAACAACGGAUCUCUUGGUUCUGGCAUCGAUGAAGAACGCAGCGAAAUGCGAUAAGUAAUGUGAAUUGCAGAAUUCAGUGAAUCAUCGAAUCUUUGAACGCACAUUGCGCCCGCCAGUAUUCUGGCGGGCAUGCCUGUCCGAGCGUCAUUUCAACCCUCGAACCCCUCCGGGGGAUCGGCGUUGGGGAUCGGGACCCCUCACCGGGUGCCGGCCCUGAAAUACAGUGGCGGUCUCGCCGCAGCCUCUCCUGCGCAGUAGUUUGCACAACUCGCACCGGGAGCGCGGCGCGUCCACGUCCGUAAAACACCCAACUUCUGAAAUGUUGACCUCGGAUCAGGUAGGAAUACCCGCUGAACUUAAGCAUAUCAAUA
This 507-nucleotide ribosomal RNA is filed under the name cf. Trichoderma sp. 74/HC1. RNAcentral's name for it is "eukaryotic LSU rRNA". The stretch from base 130 to 283 matches the Rfam family "5.8S ribosomal RNA". The record is from RNAcentral. Lineage: Eukaryota; Fungi; Ascomycota; Sordariomycetes; Hypocreales; Hypocreaceae.